AUAAGCAGCACAUAGCUUAAUUCUAGAAAUGAUUGCUUAUGUAAAGCCCUUUCCAGUUUUCAAAGAGUCACACAUUUUUCCUUUGUCGCUCUCAGUCCCCUAUUAAAACAACAGUGCAGGAUUCCUAAUGUGGUACAGCAGAAACCAAUCCAACUAGGAACCAUGAGGAUGCGGGUUCGAUCCCUGGCCUUGCUCAGUGGGACGGGGAUCCAGUGUUGCCUUGAGCUGUGGUGUAGGUUGCAGACACGGCUUGGAUCCCAAGUCGCUAUGGCUGUGGUGUAGCAACACAGGACCCGUGCCGAGCCUGUGACCUACACCACAGCUCAUGGCAACACCGGAACCUUAACCCACUGAGCAUGGCAACACCAGAACCUUAACCCACUGAGCGAGGUCAGGGAUCGAACCCACGUCCUCAUGGAUACUAGUCAGGUUCAUUACCACUAAGCCAUGAUGGGAACUCCCCCAAAGUCUCUAUUUUAAAAACCUCAAUUAAUGCAGCAUUAUUUCUUAAGUAUUUCUGUGUCAAUCUGUCAGCUCUCUGGGUGGAUAGCUGCAAUGCCAACUUCAUCUCAUGCCCAAGUUCAGUAUCAUCCGCAGUGCCUGGAGGCACUGCUCUCUGAUGUAAAACAGCCCUGCCUUAUUAGAGUCCAGUUAGAUGCGAUAAAGAGGGAAAAAGAAAAAUGAGAACACAGAGAGGCCCUAAUUUAUAUAAAUCACUGCCAGGUGUCCUUAAAAAAGCCUUUAGUUAUUUUAUGUUAUUUAUUUAUUUUUUUACAGCCAAAUAAAUGCCUACUGGAUUCCAUAUAUUGAGCUAGGUGCCAAGGAUAUAAAAUCAUAUAUGAGAACUUCCUGUCUUCAUGGAGAUUACAGUGUAUCCCAAGUCAUUAGAUCAGGGGAAUUUAAGAAAAAAAAAAAAAAAAAAAGCUUCAGCUUUUUUAAACCAUCAGGUCCCAAACUACCAUGUAAAUUUCUAUAGAAUGGUAUGUCGACCUAUGCAUUUCUCUAUUGGUAUGGGAUUAAUUAAAAAUAUGAACCUGGCGUUCCUGUCAUGGCUCAGAAGAUAUAUAUAUCUUCUGUUCAAACUUCCCACCUUCUCUGGCUUAUUGUACAUACACAAAAUUUUGGCAACCCAGAAAGAAUAAAACAACCAAAGAGGCCUAAUUUCCAAAAUAAUUAUAUUCCAGAAGUUCACCUUCAAGCCUAUCAUUGGGAACACUGAAAGAGCUGUCUUAAGAAUGAGUAAAGGAAGGUUAUUACAUUUUUAAGACAAUAGGUCAUAACAAUUUUUAGAAAAUUACACCAUUUUGUGGAAAGCUAAGAAAACAAUGAACAUUACAACCCUAUUUACUGUAUUCUGAAGUUUCCUUGAUUUCAAUUUUAUAGAAACAUUUAUCAAGCUGACACUAGUGAAGAAAUGCAACAUACC
This 1426-nucleotide long non-coding RNA is filed under the name Sus scrofa (pig). RNAcentral's name for it is "lncRNA (ENSSSCG00015025210.1)". The record is from RNAcentral. Lineage: Eukaryota; Metazoa; Chordata; Mammalia; Artiodactyla; Suidae.